CCCUUAGAUGUCCUGGGCCGCACGCGCGCUACACUGAGUGUCUGAGAUACGAGUCUGCCUGGUCCGGCAAGGUCUAGGUAAUCGCUAAAAGACACAUCAUGCUUGGGAUAGAUUAUUGCAAAUAUUAAUCUUGAACGAGGAAUUCCUAGUAAGCGCAAGUCAACAGCUUGCGUUGAUUACGUCCCUGCCCUUUGUAAACACCGCCCGUCGCUACUACUGAUUGGAUGUUUAAGCGAGGUUCUCGAACUGCUAGCGACUUAGCUUCGGUGAGGUCGCAGUGUGGGAAGUGAACCUAGCUUUGGUGUCUAGAGGAAGUAAAAGUCGUAACA
This 329-nucleotide ribosomal RNA is filed under the name uncultured eukaryote. Its description in RNAcentral is "partial 18S ribosomal RNA". It matches the Rfam family "Eukaryotic small subunit ribosomal RNA", at positions 1470 to 1796 of the family's 1831-position model. The record is from RNAcentral.